Nycticebus coucang (slow loris) is the source of this 139-nucleotide small nucleolar RNA. RefSeq annotates it as small nucleolar RNA SNORA17. The transcript has a single exon. Lineage: Eukaryota; Metazoa; Chordata; Mammalia; Primates; Lorisidae. The record is from RefSeq and is a predicted model, not a curated record.
GCUGUGCCAGAGGGUUGCAGAUGUGGCUGUUGGGUCGCAUUUGUGUCAUGAGGUGGCAGAGAGAAGACAGGCUGUGUUAUGAGAUCCAUGGAUCUGAUUAUGGAUCCAUGAAUGUUUGAAUGAUUAAUAGUCGGACACU